Molecule: ribosomal RNA, 424 nt
Filed under: Rochinia gracilipes
Lineage: Eukaryota; Metazoa; Arthropoda; Malacostraca; Decapoda; Epialtidae
Description: partial 16S ribosomal RNA
Rfam family: Archaeal large subunit ribosomal RNA
Source: RNAcentral
CCGUGCAAAGGUAGCAUAAUCAUUAGUUUUUUAAUUGAAAACUUGUAUGAAUGGUUAGACAAAAGAAACUCUGUCUCGUUUGUUAGACUUGAAUUUAACUUUUAAGUGAAAAGGCUUGAAUCUUUUAAGGGGACGAUAAGACCCUAUAAAGCUUUAUAAUGAAAUAUUAUUUUUUGAAAUAAUUUAUAAAAUAAAAUAAUAAUAACCUUAUUAUGUUGGGGUGACACUGAUAAAAAUAUAUUUAACUGUUAGAAUAAAGAUACAUAAAUUUAUGAAUAAAUAUUAAUGAUCCUUAUUAAAGAUUAAAAGACUAAGUUACUUUAGGGAUAACAGCGUUAUUUCUUUUGAGAGUUCUUAUCGAAAAAGAAGUUUGCGACCUCGAUGUUGAAUUAAAGAAUCUUUAUAGUGCAGCCGCUUUAAAAAG